Molecule: ribosomal RNA, 1436 nt
Filed under: uncultured Pelagibacterales bacterium
Lineage: Bacteria; Pseudomonadati; Pseudomonadota; Alphaproteobacteria; Candidatus Pelagibacterales
Description: bacterial SSU rRNA
Rfam family: Bacterial small subunit ribosomal RNA
Source: RNAcentral
AGAGUUUGAUCCUGGCUCAGAACGUACGCUGGCGGCACGCCUAACACAUGCAAGUCGAACGAAGUAGCAAUACUUAGUGGCAGACGGGUGAGUAACAUGUGGGUAUCUUCCCUUUGGCCUGGAAUAACACGAGGAAACUUGUGCUAAUACCGGAUAAGUCUUUACAGAGAAAGCUUUAUGCACCAUUGGAUGAGCCUGCACUUGAUUAGUUUGUUGGUAGGGUAAUGGCCUACCAAGACUAUGAUCAAUAGCUGAUUUGAGAGGAUGAUCAGCCACAUUGGGACUGAGACACGGCCCAAACUCCUACGGGAGGCAGCAGUGGGGAAUCUUGCACAAUGGAGGAAACUCUGAUGCAGCGAUGCCGCGUGAGUGAAGAAGGCCUUUGGGUUGUAAAGCUCUUUCGUCGGGGAAGAAAAUGACUGUACCCGAAUAAGAAGGUCCGGCUAACUUCGUGCCAGCAGCCGCGGUAAUACGAAGGGACCUAGCGUAGUUCGGAAUUACUGGGCUUAAAGAGUUCGUAGGUGGUUGAAAAAGUUGGUGGUGAAAUCCCAGAGCUUAACUCUGGAACUGCCAUCAAAACUUUUCAGCUAGAGUUUGAUAGAGGAAAGCAGAAUUUCUAGUGUAGAGGUGAAAUUCGUAGAUAUUAGAAAGAAUACCAAUUGCGAAGGCAGCUUUCUGGAUCAUUACUGACACUGAGGAACGAAAGCAUGGGUAGCGAAGAGGAUUAGAUACCCUCGUAGUCCAUGCCGUAAACGAUGUGUGUUAGACGUUGGAAAUUUAUUUUCAGUGUCGCAGCGAAAGCGAUAAACACACCGCCUGGGGAGUACGACCGCAAGGUUAAAACUCAAAUGAAUUGACGGGGACCCGCACAAGUAGUGGAGCAUGUGGUUUAAUUCGAAGAUACGCGCAGAACCUUACCAACACUUGACAUGUUCGUCGCGACUUUAAGAGAUUAAAGUUUUCGGUUCGGCCGGACGAAACACAGGUGCUGCAUGGCUGUCGUCAGCUCGUGUCGUGAGAUGUUGGGUUAAGUCCCGCAACGAGCGCAACCCUCACUUUUAGUUGCCAUCAUUUAGUUGGGCACUCUGAAAGAACUGCCAGUGAUAAGCUGGAGGAAGGUGGGGAUGACGUCAAGUCCUCAUGGCCCUUACGUGUUGGGCUACACACGUGCUACAAUGGUAUCUACAACAGGAAGCAAGACGGCGACGUCAAGCAAAUCCUUAAAAGAUACCUCAGUUCGGAUUGCACUCUGCAACUCGAGUGCAUGAAGCUGGAAUUACUAGUAAUCGUGGAUCAGCGUGCCACGGUGAAUGCGUUCCCGGGUCUUGUACACACCGCCCGUCACACCAUGGGAGUUGGUUCUACCUUAAGGCAAGGUUUAAAACCCUUGACCACGGUAUAGUCAGCGACUGGGGUGAAGUCGUAACAAGGUAACC